UUUCCGUAGGUGAACCUGCGGAAGGAUCAUUAGUGGAUUAUGAAUCUUUGGGCUGCUGCUUGCUCCCCUCGGCGGGCAUGUGCCAGCUUGUUGUCCAUUAUUUCUCUCACUCUUCACAUAUUGUAGAUCUUUCAGUCGGCCUAUGUUGUUUUUCACAAUCUCUUAAUUUAAUAGAAUGUUUUUUAAUCAUAGCUAAUUAAAUCUAACUUUCACCAACGGAUCUCUUGUCUCUUCCAUAGAUGACGAACGCAACCGAACGAACGAGCACACGACUGAACC
This 279-nucleotide unclassified non-coding RNA is filed under the name plant metagenome. RNAcentral describes it as "partial contains small subunit ribosomal RNA, internal transcribed spacer 1, and 5.8S ribosomal RNA". The record is from RNAcentral.